CCUACGGGUGGCAGCAGUAGGGAAUAUUGCGCAAUGGGGGAAACCCUGACGCAGCAACGCCGCGUGGAGGAUGAAGGUUUUAGGAUCGUAAACUCCUGUUGUGAGAGAAGAUAAUGACGGUAUCUCACGAAUAAGCACCUGCUAACUCCGUGCCAGCAGCCGCGGUAAUACGGAGGGUGCAAGCGUUACUCGGAAUCACUGGGCGUAAAGAGUGCGCAGGCGGGCUGGUAAGUCAGAUGUGAAAUCCUGUAGCUUAACUAGAGAACUGCAUUUGAAACUGUGAGUCUAGAGUGUGGGAGAGGAAGGUGGAAUUCUUGGUGUAGGGGUAAAAUCCGUAGAUAUCUAGAGGAAUACUCGUGGCGAAGGCGACUCACUGGAACAUUACUGACGCUGAGGCACGAAAGCGUGGGGAGCAAACAGGAUUAGAUACCCGAGUAGUC
RNAcentral lists this ribosomal RNA (440 nucleotides) under uncultured bacterium. Its description in RNAcentral is "partial 16S ribosomal RNA". It matches the Rfam family "Bacterial small subunit ribosomal RNA", at positions 338 to 795 of the family's 1533-position model. The record is from RNAcentral.